RNAcentral lists this long non-coding RNA (12622 nucleotides) under Capsicum annuum. Its description in RNAcentral is "long non-coding RNA (CANN_LNC019942)". Lineage: Eukaryota; Viridiplantae; Streptophyta; Magnoliopsida; Solanales; Solanaceae. The record is from RNAcentral.
UUAGAUUUUGUAUAGAGAAAAUACUGUCUGGUUGAAGACGUUUGACCUUUAUCAUCAACGGAAAGGAGAGAGUUCGUCGAUAAAAGUGACUUUUGAUGAUUUUUCAGCCAAGGUAAUGGAUCACUAUGUUGCUUAUACAGUAAGUAAAGAAAAUAGGACAAGUGAAUUUGUGAUUUUUACGGUGGAGGUAAAAGGUAUUUACCAAUCUCGAGAUAUGAAAGUUUCUUGUAGGGAUGUGAAGCUCAAGUUUUCAACCAUUAAACAAGAGAGAAGAUUGCUACAAAAAUGUUCCACUCAUUUGUUUUGAUUAUUACUUAAAUUUUAUUGUAUCAUCCUUAUUGUUGAAUCUAUCCUUUAUGUAAGGACGAAAAGUUCCAUACUGAUUUAGUGAUAGUGACUUAUUGUGCUUUAGUUAUUACUUUAGUUGGUUAUGAUUGUUGUUCCUCUUUUGGUAUGCUGUGUUAUGUUUUCUUUGUUAUUUUUCUUGGGUCAUUCUUUUUAUUUUUGUUUUUGGAGGAGACAAAGUACCUGAAGUGAGACAUGUAAUAUAAGGAAACUUAGCUUAAGCAAAAUUUAAUAUCAGUUACAAAUAGUAUCAAUCUAUUAUUACAAUUCGUCUCGUUUAGCCCUUAUCUUAAAAAGUGGUUCCAUCGAUCACAACUUGAAGAUAAGAGAUAGAACAAAUCAUGCUGUUGGCAGUUUGAUUUAAUAAUUAAAUAAAUUAUUAUAAAGAAUAAAACAAACCAAUGAAACAUGAUUUUGCAAACUGUUGCUAGAAAAAUACAAAUACAUAUGAUUUUUUUACUGCUCUUAUGAUCGAUAUGUAUUUUGUAUUUUUGUAAAUUGUUGCUACAAAAAUAUAAAUACAUAAAAAUACAUAUGCUACAAAAUGUAAUUUGAUAAAAGUGUUGCUAUUUUUUGUAAUUUAAUAUUUAAGUAUGCUACUUUAUAUAUUUUUUCCUAUUACAAUUGAUGCUUCAAAAAAAUUCAAAUUGCACCAAACUCAAGGACACUGAUUAGCUAUACUUUAGAUGACUGACAUAUUGAUCAGCGAUAGAGUUAGAAUUUUUACUAAGUGACUUUUAAAUAUAAAAAGUAAACAUACAAAAAGGUCUACGGGGAGGUUCACCAUCUAUUGUAUACUAAAAAUAAUUUUAACCAUUUAUAACAAUGUACUUUAUUGUCAAAGGAUUUUGAAUAAAUCACCUGAAUCCAUGAUAGCUCGGCCCUGUGGUUGAUAAUAUAACUGGUGGAUUGGAGCUUUUAUAAGUAAUUACUUAGUCCUAACGCUAAUGAGAAAAACACCAUUAGAAGGAAGUAGGGAAUUCAUCGACUAGCCAUGGUGUUGCAAAUAUUUUUGUACUGAUAAUAAUGAAGAAGUUUAUUUUCCCUUUAAGUUGUAUAACAUUUCUACGAUGCAAUAUAGUUUUUAUGCUGAAAAAGGGUACAGUGUUGAACCAAAACGAUUCAAAUAUUCAUUCACUUAAUUUUUUUUAUUUUUUAUUUUUUAUAUAUUUAGUACUCCUUUCUACUUAUAGGUUGUUGGGAAGACUCGUACGGUUUGAUAAUAUCACACCACACUAAAAGUAUUUUUAGGUUGUUUUCAGGCGAACAAGUGUUGGUUAGUGUUAGGAUCUAUGGAAUUUUGAUGAUAGACAAAUAAAUAAAACAUGUUGAGAAAGCUGGUACAUCAAAGUGAACAAAAGUUCAGCUGCAGACAAGUUAUGGAUAAGCUAACUUUGCGUACAAGACAAGAAUGGAUAACAGUUGGCACAUCAGAAGUAAAGUUAAACAAGAAGUCCUGCAAAAGAGUCCUAAUCAAGAAGAAGAGAAACAAGAAGUCUUGCAGAAUUCAAGAUGAUCAAGGAGUCUAGCAAUAAGAGAAGAUAAAGCAAAAGAGUCCUAUUAAAUCUGAAAGAGUAAAGAGGCGGCAACAACUUGAAGAGGAGGUACUUGAUAAAGUCCUACACAAGAUAGAAGAAUAGAGAAAAAAGGACUGCAUCAGAAGGAGUGCUAAUAUACGACAAGAUGCAUUCAAUUAAGUACUCAAGCACUGAAAAGAUAAUCAACAAUCAGCAUAUCAGUUCACAUACUUGAAGAAGAACCUAGUCUCUUACUUAGCAAGUCGUCGACUUUAUGUGUAGUAGAUAGGUUCUUUGAAUUGUAAUGAGUCAUUGUUCUAAUCUCAGUGAUCUAUAAACUGAGUUAGGAGUUGUGUCUUCAAGUUAGAGAACUCUAAGACUUGGGAACACUAAUCUUGGGAAGAUUUAUGUUUUUGUAGUGAUAGGAGUUAGAAGUUUUAAUUCCUAGUUUACAAGAAGUCUUAUAAUUUUGUUGAUUGUUGAGGCUCAAGUGUUUUAGUGAAGUUGGGGUUAAAUCCUGUAGAGGUACAAGUCGUGGUUUUUUACACCUUUCUUGAGCCGGGUGUUUUACUUCUGUGAACCACGUUUGCUUACCUGUUCCAUAGAUAGGCAAUUAGUAGGGCUCGUACUCUAACAAGUGGUAUCAGAGAGGGUUGUCUUAAAUAAGGCUAGCGCCUAAGAAAAGGAUCAACAUGAUGAAUUCCGCAUCUCCUUCUGGUCACACAGUGAAGGUCAGUCAAUUACAAGACCUCCACUUUUUGAUGUUUCUCACUUUAUCUGGUAGAAAGCAAGGAUGAAAAUGUUCAUCCAAGGUGAAGAUUAUGAAUUAUGGGACAGGAUUACUGAUGGUCCUACUAUUUCAAUAAAGAUGGCUGAUGGUGAACAAGUCAAGAAAAUAAGGAGUGAAUUUACUCCUGAUGACUUGUUGGCUUUGAAGAAAAAUUCAAAGGCCAAGAACAUCUUGGUUUGCGGACUAGGACCUGUUGAAUACAACAGGGUAUCCACCAGCACUACUACUAAGCAAAUUUGGGAUGCACUAGUGAAUGCCCAUGAAGGUACUUCUCAAGUAAGAAAGUUCAGGAUCUCUCUUCUUUUCACUGAGUAUGAGACAUUUAAAAUGAAGAAAAACAAAACCUUGCAUGAGAUGAUGACAAGGCUUACCACCUUAACAAAUGAACUGACUUCCUUGGGAAAGGUCAUCUCUGAGGAAGAACAAGUUGAAAAGGUACUAAGGAUAUUACCUAAAUCAAAAUAGAAUGUUAAGGUGACUGCAAUCAGGGAGGCAAAUAAGGAUCUUGAAGGCAUGGCACUAGAUGAACUAGUAGGGAACUUAAGAAAUUAUGAAAUGGAAAUUGAUGGAACCAAAGAACAAGUUGCUCCUGAGAAAAUUCUAACAUUAAAAUCUUCUGAUAGUGAUGAGGAAUUUGAACUUGAUAAGGAGCAAGUUGCCUUUAUAACUAAAAAUUUCAGCAAAUUCUUUAAGAAGAAGAAGGGAACAGGUACUAAGAAACGUUCCACUGACAAUCCAAAUAGUUGCUACAAAUAUGGAAAAACUGAUCAUCAGAUCAAAGAUUGUCCAGUCUGGGAAAUAGAAUGGAAGAAGGAAAGGGAUGAAAAAGAACUGAAGGCUAAAGGAAGGAGGAGCAUGCAAUGAUAGCUGCUUGGGAUCUGAUUUAGAUGAAGAUGAAGUAGAUAAAAAUGCAUUCAUGGAUUUUGGAGAUUCAGACUUAGAUGAAGAAGAUGAAAGUUCUGAGGUAAGUAUACUUGAACUCAAAGAAAAAUUGUAAUUGUUUUCAAAACCAAAACUUGUUUCCUUGAUGAGUGCAUUGAUUGAUGAUUUCCAAGAGUUAUCCUCUGAUAGGGAUGAAUUGUUCAACAGUCUUGCAAGUCUAAAAUUUGAUCUCAUUGAUAUAAAGGCUUGUUCAGGUACAGUUGACAAGGAAAAUAGCACUCUCAAGAAACAGGUUAUAGAACUUAUGAUUUCAAACAAUAAUCUUAAGUCUGAAGUCCUCAAACUAACUCUCACUGGAACUGGGAAAAAGACCACGAGUAAAGAAAAAGAAAAUGCUGAACUUGAGUUAGUUAAAUACAAGAAAGAAUGUCAAGAUUUAAUUGGAAAAAUCAAUAAGAUGAAUCAUGAAGUUUAUAAACUAAAACUUGAUUUUGAAAGGGAAAAUAGGCGGACAAACUCCUCAAGAAUUGUUCACAAAUUGAGUAUGAGAAAUGUCAAUGAAAAGGCAAGUUUGGAAUUUCACAAAAGUUUUGAUAAUCCUAUAGAUUUAUGUUAUAUUUGUGGCAAUCUUGGACAUUCCACCACUGAACGUCCAGUGGCUUAAAAAAGAAGAUCAAACAGACAAAACCUGGCCAACAGAUCUUCUUAGAUCAAAAAGAACAAAAUCAGUUCUGGUUAGAGAAAUAGGUUGAAUUACAUAUUGCCUGUAUGGACUAGAAGAAACUUAAUUCAUCCUUUCACUCAUAAAAUAGGACCCAAGUUUGUCCGGGUUCCUAAAUCUAACCAUUGAUUUCUUUUGCAGGAGAAAGUGAAAGGAAGUAAAAGGCACUGGUACUUGGACAGUGCUUGAUCAAGACACAUGACCCGUGAUAAGAAAAAGUUCCUUUCACUCUCCAAAAUAGAUGGAGGAGAAGUGUCUUUUGGUGAUAGAAAAAAGGGAAUUAUUAUUGGAGUUGGAAAAAUUGGCUCAUCUGAGUCAAAAGCAUUGGAAGAUGUCUAUUUUGUAGAAGAAUUGAAACAUAACCUGCUGAGCAUCUCACAACUGUUUGACAAAGGUAAUAAAGUUAUUUUUACUGCUGCAGAAGUCAAAGUUAAAAGGAUGGACACCAAAGAAAUUGUGCUCACAGCAAGGAGAUACAGAAAUGUAUACAAAGCAGACAUCUUGGCAGUACCUGGACCUAAGUUAACUUGUAUGAGUGCAAUUAAAAAUGAUCCCCUCCUUUGGCAUAGAAAACUUGGUCAUGCAAGUUUGAAACAACUAAACAUGCUUUCCUCCAGAGACAUAGUAUUGGGAUUACCCAAGACCAAGUUUAAGGAAGAAAAGUUAUGUAGUGCUUGUGUAAGGGGGAAGUAGGUAAGGUCUUCCUUCAAGUCAAAGAACCAUGUUAGCACAUCCAAGUGACUUAACCUGGUUCAUGUGGACUUAUGUGGACCCAUGGGACUUCAAAGCAGAGGUUGAAAGAUGUAUGUUUUUGUAAUUGUUGAUGAUUAUUCCAGGUUCACCUGGACGCUAUUUCUAGCCUUUAAAAAAGAUGCCUUUGAUGUCUUUAAAAUCUUCUUUAAGAAAAUUAAAAAAAAACUACGUACUUCCUUAGUCUCCAUAAGGUCUGACCAUGGUACAAAAUUUGAGAAUGUAUAACUCUUAGAAUUUUGUUCAGUAAAUGGUAUAGAUCAUAACUUCUCAGCUCCUAGAACACCAUAACAAAAUGGAGUGGUGGAAAGGAAAAAUAGAAUCUUGGAGGAUAUGGCUAGAACAAUGAUGCUUACAGCAAAUAUUGCCAAAAACCUUUGGGCUGAGGCAAUAAGUACUGCAACAUACAUGAUAAAUAGAUGCAUGAUCAUACCUAUAUUAGAGAAGACUCCAUAUGAAUUACUAAAACGAAGAAAGCCUAACAUCUUUCACUUCAGAAUCUUUGGAUAAUUUGGGAAAAUUUGAUGUUAAAAGUGAUGAGGGAUUCUUCUUAGGCUAUUCACUUCACAGUAAAGCCUAUAGGGUGUUAAAAAAUAGAACUAAUUAUGUUGAAGAAAGUUUGCAUGUGAUCUUUAAUGAAUCUUGUGUUAAGACUAACCUACAGGAAGGAAAUGAUGUUGAGGAACAGGUUACACAACCCGAUCCAUUGACUAGUGAUACAAAACUUGGAAGCACCUCAACAGGGGGAACUGAAGUUGAAGGCACAAUGACAGGGGGAACUGAGCCACCGACUACCCCAGAUCAGAAUGUCAUCAGUAAUCCUAGUAGCUCACUUGACUUGAUUCCAAAGGGAUACAAGUAUCAAGGAUCACAUCCUAUAGAGAAUGUUCUCAUUGAGAUCACCUCUGGGAUCACUACAAGAUCUGGAUUGAGAAGUUUGUGUGCCUUCAAGGAAUUUCUGUCAGAAAUAGAGCCAAAGAAGAUAACUGAAGCAUUGAUUGAUGCUGAUUGGAUCAUAGCCAUGUAGGAAGAACUGAAUCAGUUUGAAAAAAGCAAAGUAUGACACUUAGUUCCUAUCCCAAAAGAUAGAUCGGUAAUUAGAACUAGGUGUGUGUACAGGAAUAAGGUUGAUGAACAUGGAACAUUCAUCAGAAACAAGACAAGGUUGGUGGUCCAAGGAUAUAACCAAGAGGAAGGAAUUGACUUUGAUAAGACUUUUUCUCCUGUAGAAAAACUUGAAGCUAUAAGAUUACUUAUUGCAUUUACUGCCUACAAGGGUUUUACUCUCUACCAGAUGGAUGUAAAAAGUGCAUUUUUGAAUAACAUUCUCAAAGAAGAGGUGUAUGUGAAGCAACCUCCAGGAUUUAAAAGCAAAGAGUUUCCUGGUUAUGUGUUUAAAUUGGAUAAAGCUCUGUAUGGGUUGAAGCAAGAACCUAGAGCCUAGUAUGAGAGGUUGUCAAAGUUUCUACUGGAGAAUGGCCAUUCCAGAGGUAAAAUUGACAAUACCCUUUUCUUAAAAACUAAUGGAAAGGAUUUGUUAGUUGUGCAGGAAUAUGUUGAUGACAUUAUCUUUAGAUCAACCAAUAUGAAUAUGACUCAUGAGUUUGCCAAACUCAUAAGUUGUGAAUUUGAGACGAGUAUGAUGGGAGAGCUGAAUUAUUUCUUGGGACUACAAAUAAAACAGUCAGCUUCAGGGACAAUGAUACACCAAUAGAAAUAUGUCUAAGAGCUUCUCAAAAGAUUCUCCAUAGAAGAGGCAAAAGAGAUUAGCACUCCUAUUUUCACUAUCACAAAGCUUGAUCUAGAUGAAACAGGUCCUGAUGUGGAGCAAAAGAUGUAUAGAGAAAUGAUAGGGUCACUACUGUAUCUCAAAGAAAGCAGGCCUAACAUUGUGUUUAGUGUAAGGCUAUGUGAUAGGUUUUAAGCAAAGCCAAAAUAAUCACAUCUAAAAUCAGUAAAAAGAAUCUUCAGAUACUUGAAGGGAACAAGUGAUCUUGGCUUGUGGUAUCCAAAAAAGUAGUAACUUUAAUUUGGUAGGAUACUCUGAUGCUGACUAUGCAGGAUACUUGGUGGACAGAAAAAGUACCACAGGAAUAGAUCACUUCCUUGGAUCAUGUUUGAUUUCCUGGUCCACAAAGAAGCAAAAUUCAGUAGCCUUGUCUAUUGAAGCUGAAUAUGUAGCUGCAGGUUCCUGUUGUGCCCAAUUGCUAUGGAUUAAGCAACAAAUCAUGGACUUUGGUAUAGAUGUUGUUUGUGUUCCUAUUUUUUGUGAUAAUAUAAGUUCCAUUAACAUAGCUAAAAAUCCUGUUCAACAUAAAAAAACCAAGCAUAUUGAUAGUAGACAUCACUUUCUUAGAGAUAAUGUCAAAAAAGGUCAUUUAUCAAUUAUGUUUUUCUCUACUGAAGAACAAAUUGCUGACAUUUUCACUAAGGCUUUAAGUAGAGAACACUUUGAAAAAAAUAGGUUAGCCUUGGGGAUGAUUAGAAUUGCAUAAGUCUCCCUCAAUUCUUGAUUAGAAUAAGUUGUUCUCAAAAAGUGAUUGUUGGUUAAUUCAGUCUUACAUAUUAAGUUGUGUAUCCUAAGUUCAAGAUUUUAGAGCAUGAUGACUCAUGUAUGUGUUGAUUUUUGCGGAGAGCCAUGAUUAUAGAAGCAACCUUGUCUAAAUUUUCAUUCAGGUAUGAUUACUAUUACUUACAAGUAGCUAAAAGAGAAACAAGUUACUUACCUAGUUCCCUUAUGGUCCUUUAAACCGCCAAAAAUCAGAGAGUCCCUUUCCUUUCAAAAAGCUGCUACCCACUUUGCCAUCAGUUUAGAACCACUCAUCAUUAUGCCUCUGCCAAGUAUAGUCCCCCACCUCUUUAAAUUCUACUUGGUUCUCCCUUAAAUAUGUCUCUUGGUUCUAUUGUAUCUUCACACUCAAGAAAAAUCUUUUGGCCCAAAUAUGGAUUCCUCUUCAUCUUCUUCAUCUUCCUCAUCCACUGACUAUGUCAAAAACUCCCUCACCGUCAUUAUUCUUCAUCCAUACAUUACUUUACCUCCCAUCAUUCCUUCUCAAAUUUCCUAAAGAUUUUCUGAUUUUGCAGUCUUCAGAAACAUCCCAAACCUUUUUACUCAAACACCUUUACCUCCGUCAUCCUUAUCGAAGCCUAUUCUUCCUCCUCCUGUCCCACUCCAAAUUGUUAAAGAUGAAAAUAAUUCUAGUGAUCAAGAUGAACUUCCUAUUGCAGACUUAAUCCCCAGAAGGUCCAGGUCCAAACUACCAAAAAAAACAUUUUUCAUCACUGUUGAAGACAUUACCCCUAUAACUCCCCCCAAAUGUCUCCAUCCCCCGUACUCUUCACACUCAAGGAAGAAAACAACGAGAAGAUGUAUCCUUUGCUGAGGCUCUUUGUCUAGCAAAAACAAUGCAUAUCUAUAUCUGAUUCCACCUUUUCUCAUUCUUCUUCACCAGAUCUUCUUCUUCGAUCAGUCAAAAAGAAAAAUACAUCAUGGCCAAAGUUCCAAAACCCCCUUUUACCAAGAAACCCUCUUCUAAAUCUACUCAAAAGUUCUCCUCCUCUUCAAAAUCUCCUUCUACUGUCAAAGUUCCCACCGCCUCAAAUGUUUCCCCUCCAAAUUCUUUUACUUACACAAAGAAAUAAGUUAGCAAACCUAUUUCCUCUGACUCCUGUGACUCUGACUUCCAUCUAGAUCCUACUGUGUUAGAAGCUGAUUUUGAGCCUCCUGUUCCAUGCUCUCAUCAAGACACUCCUGAGUCUCAUCAUCUUCAUUUUCAAAAGUUAAAAUUAGCCAGAGUGAGAGUUAGUGGCUUUGGGGGUAAGGCUAUGUAGACUUUACUGGAAAAAUUAGAGUUUCAGGGAUGGUCUUAUCUUUUUCUUCAGGGAGAUCUUCAGAGGCGUUUUGGAAAGCCUGAAAUGUAUGAGUUUUAUACAAAUAGGGUGGGUAUUGGUUACAUGUUCUCUACUACUAUUAUAAAGACUACAAUAAAUCUGUAUGUUGCUACCAUUGCUAAAAUCUUGUAUAUUCCUUCUGGAGGGUGGGGUCAUUAUGUUAAAGGCACUUGGCCACCUCUGGACAAUCUUACCUCUGCUCUUGACAUAUGUAGAAAGUUCUCAGGCAAUCCUUACUUGCUCCAUCAUACAAGGAUUAUUAAGAGAGAGACAUCCUUACUUUAUCAUCUCUACUUUGAUGUAGUCCACAAGAUGAUUAUCCCUAGGAAGGAGAGAAGAUGUAUGGCUAGUUUUCUUGAUAUUACACUUAUGGAAAUUUUGGACACUGAGGUGCGAAUUGACUUGCCUCUACUUAUACUAAAGCAUAUGCAAAGGGUUCUUCUCAAGGAAAUUAAUGGUCAUGCCCUUCCCUAUGAAUUUUGGCUCACCCUUAUUUUUGAUGAAUUUGGUGUGUGUGUGUAUACGUGUGAUUUUCACAGACCAUCAAGGAUAUCAUAGGUACUUUGGACCAUAUUUUGCUACCUGUUUCGAUGAGGAGUGAUGAUAAUCGAAUGCAAUGAUUGUGAAAUGGACUAGCUGCAAAACAGAGUGAAAUGGAUGUUGCUCAAGCUGCUCAUGAAGAUGAAAAAGGGGUUCUUUAAGAUCAGAUUGCAUCUCUCACUACCCUGUUGGAAAAAAGAGCGGGCUGAAAAUGCUGAUGUCAUUAGAAAACUCACUUCCUUGAUCCUCCCAUCUUCAUCCAUCUAGCCUCUUUACUUGUCUCCUAGACUGUCUCCUUUUGUUAUCUUCCCUGGUGUCUUGUUCUCUUUUAGGUUGCUUCUGGUAAAUGUAGUCGUAUUUUGGUAGUGACUGAAAUAGACUUAGUUGCUUUAAAUUUAUUCUGCCUCUGUUUUAUCAUACUACAUUCAUGAUCUCAUAUUCUGAAUAUUGUUUUUCUUAGUGAUUGGCUAAAUGGCCAUGGAUUAUUAAGCAUUUUCACUUGCUGGGAUAACUUUUCGAUGAUGUCAAAAGGGGGAAGAGUAGGCUAUGCAAUGCUUAUAACUCAACUAGAUAACUUGUUUUAUUACAUUCUGUGUUUUUUUUAUUUAAAAUCCCUUAUUGAUUAUGUUAGAUUUUUGUGAUGUUGUGCUGAUAUGUUUGUCAUUAUCAAAAAGGGGGAAUUUGUUAGGAUCUGUGGAGUUUUGAUGAUAGACAAAUAAAUAAAAUAUGUUGAGAAAACUGGUACAUCAAAGUGAACAAAAGUUUAGCUGCAGACAAGUUAUGGAUAAGCUAACUUUGCGUACAAGACAAGAAUGGAUAACAGUUGGCACAUCAGAAGUAAAGUUAAACAAGAAGUCCUGCAAAAAAGUCCUAAUCAAGAAGAAGAGAAACAAGAAGUCUUGUAGAAUUUAAGAUGAUCAAGAAGAAGAGAAACAAGAAAUCUUGUAGAAUUUAAGAUGAUCAAGGAGUCUAGCAAUAAGAGAAGAUAAAGCAAAAAAGUUCAUUAAAUCUGAAAGAGUAAAGAGGCGACAACAACUAGAAGAGGAGGUACUUGAUAGAGUGCUACACUAGACAGAAGAAUAGAGAAAAAAGGACUGCAUCAGAAGGAGUGCUAAUAUAUGCCAAGAUGCAUUCAAUUAAGUACUCAAGCACUGAAAAGAUAAUCAACAAUCAACAUAUCAGUUCACAUACUUGAAGAAGAACCUAAUCUCUUACUUAGCAAGUCGUAGACUUUGUGUGUAGUAGAUAGGUUCUUUGAAUUGUAAUGAGUCAUUGUUCUAAUCUCAGUGAUCUAUAAAUUGAGUUAUGAGUUGUGUCUUCAAGUUAGGGAACUCGAAGACUUGGGAACACUAAUCUUGGAAAGAUUUGUGUUUUUGUAGUGAUAGGAGUUAGAAGUUUUAAUUCCUAGUUUACAAGAAGUCUUGUAAUUUUGUUGAUUGUUGAGGCUCAAGUGUUUUAGUGAAGUUUGGGUUAAAUCCUGUAGCUGUACAGGUCGUGGUUUUUUAUACCUUUCUUGAGCCGAGUAUUUUUCACGUAAAAACACUGUGUUCAAUUUUUACUUCUGUGAACCACGUUUACUUACCUGUUCCAUAGAUAGGCAAUUAGUAGGGCUCAUACUCUAACAGUUAGUCAUGUUCAUUCACAACAAUUAUUUUAUCUCUUUUAAUUCAUUAAAUUAUACUAUACUAAAUUAUUUAAAAAUUAUGUUACUAAGAGUAGAUAUCCGACCUUAUAUAUAUAUAUGUGUGUGCGCACGCGCAUGCUUAUAGCAAAAUAUAUGUAAAAUCAAAAUAUAUAUUAUGUUUAUAUUAUUAUAUUAGAGUGUGAAAGGAUCUUUGAGAAGUGAUUUGUGCUUUUUGAAUUUCAUUAAAAACAUUCGCAAUAGACAAAAUCGUCUAAUUUUAAACAAUUAAAAGUUACACGUGCGAGGCACAUGUGAUUAAACUAGUAUUAAUAAAUUUGUACAGAUUGUACAUAAAAUGACAAUUAGCGUAAAAAAAUAUUGUACGUGUAAUUCACAUGCUUUGUCUUUAAAAACUGACAAAUAAAACUGUUACAUGUGGCAUAUGGGCACAAAUUAAGUCUAAAAUUAUAAACUUUUGUAUCCUUUUAAAUAUGGGAUAUUACAAAGCGUCGUAACGCUUGAUCUCAGAAACCAAUUAUCAAGAAACAAUGGAUUGGGAGGUGAGAUUAAUCCAUCUUUAGCUAAGUUGAAAAAGUUGAGAUACUAUGAACUAUUUUGAAGGAGUCAAAGUACCUGAAGUGAAACAUGUAAUAUAAGGAAACUUAUUGUUACCAUGCUUAAGGAAACUAUUUAAGGUAGGCUUGGAAUGCAAGCAUGCAUUAUAAGGAAACUUUUUUUUUUAAUAUAUAUUUUCACAAGUAUUUGUUAUAUUAGUUUUAUUAUAUCACUUUUAAUUAGUUGUUAUAAGUUUAUAUAUAUCACAUAAGUUAAAGACAAGAAAACAAUAUAUAUUGGGCCCGUGACCUUCGAUGUCUAUAAAUACACAAAACUCAUCAACUUUCCUUCAACUUCUCUAAUUGUUUUGGGGUUUUGUUAUUGUUAUUAGCUCUCUGAGUUAUGUCUUUGGAGGAAGAGAGAACCAAUCCCUAUAUUGUUAAUCGUGAGAAUCGUUACAGGUGUGGUUUAAUAGGAAGUCUUGUAAUUUUUUUCCUUAUUGUAGGGCUUCUUCUUUUUCUUGUUAUUAGUGGUUUUAUUAGUUUUAUGUCUUCUAAGAAUUAUUAUCCCAAAUUCUCUAUUGAAGCAAUCACAUCUUCCAAUAUUAGUAUUUUAACAUGGCCUAAUUCAUCUUUAUAUGCUCAAAACUUGACUAUCGAUUUUGUGGUAAAAAAUCGUCCACAUCAUGAAGUUGAAUAUGAAAACACGAAGGCUUCGAUUUAGUACAGAGGAAAUACUGUCUGGUUGAAGAUGUUUGACCUUUAUCAUCAACGAAAAAGAGAGAGUUCGUCGAUAAAAGUGACUUUUGUUGAUUUUUCAGCCAAGGUAAUGGAUCCCUAUGUUGCUUAUACAAUAAGUAAAGUAAAUAGGACAAGUGGAUUUGUGGUUUUUACGGUAGAGCUAAAAGGUAUUUACCAAUCUCGAGAUAUGAAAGUUUCUUGUAGGGAUGUGAAGCUCAAGUUUUCAACAAUUAAACAAGAGACAAGAUUGCUACAAAAAUGUUCCAC